This 449-nucleotide ribosomal RNA is filed under the name uncultured bacterium. RNAcentral describes it as "partial 16S ribosomal RNA". It matches the Rfam family "Bacterial small subunit ribosomal RNA", at positions 29 to 523 of the family's 1533-position model. The record is from RNAcentral.
AACGAACGCUGGCGGCAUGCCUAACACAUGCAAGUCGAACGAGAUCUUCGGGUCUAGUGGCGCACGGGUGCGUAACGCGUGGGAAUCUGCCCUUUGGUUCGGAAUAACAGUUGGAAACGACUGCUAAUACCGGAUGAUGACGAAAGUCCAAAGAUUUAUCGCCAGAGGAUGAGCCCGUGUAGGAUUAGCUAGUUGGUGUGGUAAAGGCGCACCAAGGCGACGAUCCUUAGCUGGUCUGAGAGGAUGAUCAGCCACACUGGGACUGAGACACGGCCCAGACUCCUACGGGAGGCAGCAGUGGGGAAUAUUGGACAAUGGGCGAAAGCCUGAUCCAGCAAUGCCGCGUGAGCGAUGAAGGCCUUAGGGUUGUAAAGCUCUUUUACCCGGGAUGAUAAUGACAGUACCGGGAGAAUAAGUUCCGGCUAACUCCGUGCCAGCCGCCGCCGUAA